UACGUAGGGUGCGAGCGUUAAUCGGAAUUACUGGGCGUAAAGCGUGCGCAGGCGGUUUUGUAAGUCAGAUGUGAAAUCCCCGGGCUUAACCUGGGAAUGGCAUUUGGGACUGCAAGGCUGGAGUGUGGCAGAGGAGACUGGAAUUCCUGGUGUAGCAGUGAAAUGCGUAGAUAUCAGGAGGAACACCGAUGGCGAAGGCAGGUCUCUGGGCUGACACUGACGCUCAUGCACGAAAGCGUGGGGAGCAAACAGG
Molecule: ribosomal RNA, 253 nt
Filed under: uncultured bacterium
Lineage: Bacteria
Description: partial 16S ribosomal RNA
Rfam family: Bacterial small subunit ribosomal RNA
Source: RNAcentral